AUGAGAAUCAACUGUUUUUCUUGUAAAAACAACUUUUCAUCUUUCACCCAUUCAGGUACAGGUAGAGGAUAUGAUGGGACUCAUAGCCCACCUGGUCCUCCAGGACCUCCAGGUUCACCUGGCUUUCCAGGUUCACCUGGCUCCAUCUCCGUCAAUGACAUCAUCAAUCUAUUGCAACGAGAGGACGUGAGGAGAUAUGUUUCUGGUCCUCCUGGUCCACCAGGACCUCCUGGAGCUACAGACCAGGGCAGCUACAGAAUCAACACCCAGGAGGUGGCUGAUCGUGUCCUAAGCCUCAUGAAUGAGAGGGGGUUGGUAGGUGCUCCUGGACCACAAGGACCUCCUGGAGCUCCUGGUCUUCCUGGAAACUCGUUAUCAACUGGGUAUCAAGUACAAGUGGGCCCUCAAGGGCCUCCUGGUCCCCCAGGUAUCCCUGGUCCACAAGGUCCACAAGGUCCACCUGGCACACCUAGCCCACAUGGAUAUGGGACCUACCUCACUUCAGAUAUCCGUGACUACCUUCAAAGUGUCUCCUUGAGGGGACCACCAGGCCCCCCUGGUCCCCAGGGACCUGAAGGCCCCCCCGGUCAAAUAAACGGGUUGGUUUCCUAUGCUGAGCAUGCCAACAGACAGGCGCUCAGAGCAGAACUGCAAGAAUAUAUCAAGAGUGAUAAUUCGAGAGCAGCUAUGUUUGGACUUCCUGGACCACCAGGCCCUCCUGGACCUGCAGGACAUAAGGGAGAGCCAGGCCUAACCAGUGCCAGUGACUGGAACCCGGAUACCAAAGAAUACACCAAUAUGGCUGUCAAAGUAACUGAUUACAUCAAAUCUCAUGGUCUGCUCAGUGAUGGUGAAUGGAGAAACAAUGAACGCGCCACCCAAGGGCUGCCGGGACCACCUGGCCCUCCAGGUCCCCCUGGAUACAGCCGAUUGUUUGGUUCCAACGAAAACGUCACUGAUUUAGUGGAAUACUUCAAAACACAUGGAGCCAUUGUGGGGCCGCCCGGGAGACCAGGAGAGAAAGGGGACAUGGGAUCACCAGGACCCAAAGGAGAGAAAGGAGAAUUCCAACUGAUCACUAGGAGGAGGAGGAGGGAUGUUGGUGUUUAA
This 1110-nucleotide long non-coding RNA is filed under the name Sparus aurata (gilthead seabream). Its description in RNAcentral is "lncRNA (ENSSAUG00010012934.1)". The record is from RNAcentral. Lineage: Eukaryota; Metazoa; Chordata; Actinopteri; Spariformes; Sparidae.